AGGCUGCUGCACCGCUCGUGACUGUCAGUCCUCCUUGUAGCUCAUUGGUUAAGCUGUGGCUCGAGCCUGUUAACAGUUAACGGACAGGAAACGGCUCUGACAGGACACAUUCAUGUCGAGGCAGUGAUGUGAAUGUGUGGCUACUGUUUGGCCUUAGCUCACGCCAAAUAAAUGAAAGAUACCCCACAAGCCAAUCGGGACCUUCUCUUGUGAAGCCCAGACGGAAGAGAGAGAACAAAGGCUGAACCUUAACUUCCAAUGCCCCGCCCCCUCCACGCCACUCCGCCAACCACCAGGAUGCCCGGCAUCAGAACAUCCCAGGCAUUCCUGUGAUUGGCAGAUAGCAGGUUGAUUGGCAUGUCGGACCCCGCGAACACUGGGAACUGGUAAG
Molecule: long non-coding RNA, 391 nt
Organism: Oncorhynchus tshawytscha (Chinook salmon)
Lineage: Eukaryota; Metazoa; Chordata; Actinopteri; Salmoniformes; Salmonidae
Exons: 2
Source: RefSeq, a predicted model, not a curated record